AAAACUCAUUAUUCCAUCAACAUCAACCUCACACUAUCAAAGAAAACUUCAAAGCACUCGAGCAAAAAAAUUGUUCCGCCAUCAACUCUUGCCGUCCCAAAAACCUUUAAUGACCUUGAAGGAGAUUUUUUAUAACAACGAACUUUUUGUUCGGUGGAUUCAUUGUUGGGAAACCCGCAACUUUCAAAAGCCAAACUUAUUCAUGGGAAUUUCUUUUCUUUUCAUAGACUCAAAGGUAUUUUUACAAAUUUAAAUUAAUCUAAUCCAUAAUUUUAUUGUUAAUAUUCAUACUAACUCUUUCAUGAUCAAACCAUUACAGUUAAUAACCAUUCAAACUCUUAUCCCAAAACACUUCAUUCCUUGCCGAAUCAGGUAUUUGUUCAUGUUGGUUUAGUAUUG
This 399-nucleotide long non-coding RNA is filed under the name Brassica rapa (field mustard). RNAcentral's name for it is "long non-coding RNA (BRAP_LNC005715)". The record is from RNAcentral. Lineage: Eukaryota; Viridiplantae; Streptophyta; Magnoliopsida; Brassicales; Brassicaceae.